RNAcentral lists this transfer RNA (77 nucleotides) under candidate division WWE3 bacterium RIFCSPLOWO2_02_FULL_53_10. Its description in RNAcentral is "tRNA-Lys". The stretch from base 9 to 71 matches the Rfam family "tRNA", at positions 6 to 65 of the family's 71-position model. Rfam says of the family: Transfer RNA (tRNA) molecules are approximately 80 nucleotides in length. Their secondary structure includes four short double-helical elements and three loops (D, anti-codon, and T loops). Further hydrogen bonds mediate the characteristic L-shaped molecular structure. tRNAs have two regions of fundamental functional importance: the anti-codon, which is responsible for specific mRNA codon recognition, and the 3' end, to which the tRNAs corresponding amino acid is attached (by aminoacyl-tRNA synthetases). tRNAs cope with the degeneracy of the genetic code in two manners: having more than one tRNA (with a specific anti-codon) for a particular amino acid; and 'wobble' base-pairing, i.e. permitting non-standard base-pairing at the 3rd anti-codon position. The record is from RNAcentral. Lineage: Bacteria; candidate division WWE3.
GGAGCCUCCGUAGCUCAAUCGGUUAGAGCACCGCCCUCUUAAGGCGGGUGUUGAGGGUUCGAGUCCCUCCGCCUCUU